This 663-nucleotide ribosomal RNA is filed under the name uncultured bacterium. Its description in RNAcentral is "bacterial SSU rRNA". It matches the Rfam family "Bacterial small subunit ribosomal RNA", at positions 93 to 750 of the family's 1533-position model. The record is from RNAcentral.
UAGCGGCGGACGGGUGAGUAAUGCGUAGGAAGCUGCCCGAUAGAGGGGGAUACCAGUUGGAAACGACUGUUAAUACCGCAUAAUGUCUACGGACCAAAGUAUGGGACCUUCGGGCCAUAUGCUAUCGGAUGCGCCUACGUGGGAUUAGCUAGUUGGUGUGGUAAUGGCGCACCAAGGCGACGAUCCCUAGCUGGUUUGAGAGGAUGAUCAGCCACACUGGGACUGAGACACGGCCCAGACUCCUACGGGAGGCAGCAGUGGGGAAUAUUGGACAAUGGGCGCAAGCCUGAUCCAGCCAUGCCGCGUGUGUGAAGAAGGCCUUCGGGUUGUAAAGCACUUUCAGCGAGGAGGAAGGGUGUUGUGUUAAUAGCACAGCAUUUUGACGUUACUCGCAGAAGAAGCACCGGCUAACUCCGUGCCAGCAGCCACGGUAAUACGGAGGGUGCAAGCGUUAAUCGGAAUUACUGGGCGUAAAGCGCACGCAGGCGGCUUUUUAAGUCGGAUGUGAAAGCCCCGGGCUCAACCUGGGAAUUGCAUUCGAUACUGGAAAGCUAGAGUAUGUGAGAGGGGGGGUAGAAUUCCAAGUGUAGCGGUGAAAUGCGUAGAGAUUUGGAGGAAUACCAGUGGCGAAAGGCGGCCCCCUGGCACACUACUGACGCUCAG